This 501-nucleotide ribosomal RNA is filed under the name uncultured Actinomycetes bacterium. Its description in RNAcentral is "bacterial SSU rRNA". It matches the Rfam family "Bacterial small subunit ribosomal RNA", at positions 355 to 847 of the family's 1533-position model. Lineage: Bacteria; Bacillati; Actinomycetota; Actinomycetes. The record is from RNAcentral.
UGGGGAAUCUUGCGCAAUGGGCGAAAGCCUGACGCAGCGACGCCGCGUGCGGGAAGAAGGCCUUAGGGUUGUAAACCGCUUUCAGGAGGGACGAAGCCACUCGGGUUAAUAGCCCAGAGGGUGACGGUACCUCCAGAAGAAGCCCCGGCUAACUACGUGCCAGCAGCCGCGGUAAUACGUAGGGGGCGAGCGUUGUCCGGAUUCAUCGGGCGUAAAGCGCGUGUAGGCGGUCAGGUAGGUCCGAUGUGAAAACUGGAGGCUCAACCUCCAGCUGUCAUUGGAAACCAUCUGGCUAGAGUCCGGAAGAGGAGAGUGGAAUUCCUGGUGUAGCGGUGAAAUGCGCAGAUAUCAGGAAGAACACCUAUGGCGAAGGCAGCUCUCUGGGACGGUACUGACGCUGAGACGCGAAAGCGUGGGGAGCGGAACAGGAUUAGAUACCCUGGUAGUCCACGCCGUAAACGAUGGGCGCUAGGUGUGGGCGGUGUCGACUCCGUCCGUGCC